GAUGAACGCUGGCGGCGUGCCUAAUACAUGCAAGUCGAGCGAAUGGGUUAAGAGCUUGCUCUUAUGAAGUUAGCGGCGGACGGGUGAGUAACACGUGGGUAACCUGCCCAUAAGACUGGGAUAACUCCGGGAAACCGGGGCUAAUACCGGAUAACAUUUUGAACCGCAUGGUUCGAAAUUGAAAGGCGGCUUCGGCUGUCACUUAUGGAUGGACCCGCGUCGCAUUAGCUAGGUGGUGAGGUAACGGCUCACCAAGGCAACGAUGCGUAGCCGACCUGAGGGGGUGAUCGGCCACACUGGGACUGAGACACGGCCCAGACUCCUACGGGAGGCAGCAGUAGGGAAUCUUCCGCAAUGGACGAAAGUCUGACGGAGCAACGCCGCGUGAGUGAUGAAGGCUUUCGGGUCGUAAAACUCUGUUGUUAGGGAAGAACAAGUGCUAGUUGAAUAAGCUGGCACCUUGACGGUACCUAACCAGAAAGCCACGGCUAACUACGUGCCAGCAGCCGCGGUAA
Molecule: ribosomal RNA, 515 nt
Filed under: uncultured bacterium
Lineage: Bacteria
Description: partial 16S ribosomal RNA
Rfam family: Bacterial small subunit ribosomal RNA
Source: RNAcentral